GGGGCUGAUUCUGGAUUCGACGGGAUUUGCGAAGCCCUAGGAGCAUGCCGAGGGGCGGUUGGCCUCGUAAAAAGCCGCAAAAAAAUAGUCGCAAACGACGAAAACUACGCUUUAGCAGCUUAAUACCCUGCUUAGAGCCCUCUCUCCCUAGCCUCCGCUCUUAGGACGGGGAUCAAGAGAGGUCAAACCCAAAAGAGAUCGCGUGGAUG
RNAcentral lists this transfer-messenger RNA (209 nucleotides) under Serratia marcescens. Its description in RNAcentral is "partial transfer-messenger RNA". It matches the Rfam family "transfer-messenger RNA", at positions 1 to 211 of the family's 374-position model. From Rfam's summary of the family: Bacterial tmRNA, also known as 10Sa RNA or SsrA, is named for its dual tRNA and mRNA-like properties. Its role is to liberate the mRNA from a stalled ribosome. To accomplish this part of the tmRNA is used as a reading frame that ends in a translation stop signal. The record is from RNAcentral. Lineage: Bacteria; Pseudomonadati; Pseudomonadota; Gammaproteobacteria; Enterobacterales; Yersiniaceae.